Molecule: small nucleolar RNA, 110 nt
Organism: Capsella rubella
Lineage: Eukaryota; Viridiplantae; Streptophyta; Magnoliopsida; Brassicales; Brassicaceae
Rfam family: Small nucleolar RNA snoR97
Source: Rfam
CUUAUUUCUUAGUGCUUGUAGUCUGAAAAAACUCAGAAAUUUCCAGUGUUCUCAUCAGCUUCGUCUCAUCUUUUACCAUGAGGCUAGAGUUAAACAAGAACGCUACAUUA